CUCAGAGGGCUUUGGGGCUGUUUGAACAGUCACGGUUAAAUAAGAAGCACAGGAUGUCUGCAGAAGAGCAUCAGAUAACCUUAGGUAGAUCUUACCUGGAAUUGCAGAGGGGCGGGUAUGUCAGGCAUGCUGAGAUAAGUGGCAGUUGUGGUUUGAAGUGACACUGAAUCCUCUAUGUUUCUCUCCCUCUGUGCAGUCCAUUGAUGACCUGAACAAAUGGGCCCUGUUUCUUGUCUCUCCCUUUAUACUUGAAGCAGAACACAUAGCAUUUGUGACAGAGAGCAUUUGGGUACAAGGUGACAGUUUACAGAGACCAUCUUCUGAAACAAGCAAAUUUGAAGUGUCCUGUUUGCUUUUAACCGCUGGAAAGCAGACCCCCCCCACCCCCGGACGAAGUAUCAGUGACAGUGCGGCUUCACUUUGAUCAGAGCACCCAGCGCUACCUGAAGGAGUUCGCAUGGUCUGUGGCUCAGGGACUGCGUUCCUAGAGACAGGAAGCGCACUUAGGUGAGGUCACAGUUGCAGGCUGAGAAACUUGAUCAGGGAUGUGUGUGU
RNAcentral lists this long non-coding RNA (555 nucleotides) under Ictidomys tridecemlineatus (thirteen-lined ground squirrel). Its description in RNAcentral is "lncRNA (ENSSTOG00000030567.1)". Lineage: Eukaryota; Metazoa; Chordata; Mammalia; Rodentia; Sciuridae. The record is from RNAcentral.